CCUUUUUAAGCCCAUAACUAUAAAGCCUUUAUUUGUCCAUUAAGCAAAUAUAUAUAUAUAUAUAUCUUCUCAAACCAAACCCUAGUCUGGUCUUCCUUCUUCCCUGCCAAAAAAUCAGUAGCUGCUGCCGCCAUGGUUCUCAAGACUGAACUCUGCCGCUUCAGUGGGGCGAAGAUCUAUCCUGGCAAGGGUAUCAGAUUUAUUCGCUCAGAUUCCCAGGUCUUCCUCUUUGCCAAUUCUAAAUGCAAGAGGUACUUCCACAACAGGCUGAAGCCCUCAAAGCUAACCUGGACAGCUAUGUACAGGAAGCAGCAUAAAAAGGACAUUGCUGCAGAAACUAUUAAGAAGAGGCGUCGCGCCACGAAAAAACCUUACUCAAGGUCCAUUGUAGGGGCUACUUUGGAGGUCAUACAGAAGAAGCGAACUGAGAAACCUGAAGUUCGUGAUGCUGCAAGGGAGGCUGCACUCCGUGAAAUUAAGGAGAGGAUUAAGAAAACAAAGGAUGAGAAGAGAGCCAAGAAGGCUGAGGUAACAGCCAAGGUACAAAAGAGCAGCAAAGGUAGCGUGCCAAAGGGUGCUGCACCAAAGGGCCCCAAGCUUGGCGGGGGUGGAGGAAAGCGGUGAAAUCCUUCCUUCUUUGUUGUCCUAUUAACUCGUUAAAGAAUUUUGUAUUGGAUAUUUUACAUGGAUCAAGGUCUAUUGUUGCCAUUUUGUUCUUUUAGAGUUAACCUACUCUUUUCUCUUUCAGCGUUAAUUAGCCAUGGUUUGAAAGUUGUUGAAUUUUA
This is an RNA transcript of Populus trichocarpa (black cottonwood), 785 nucleotides long. It is a transcript of the gene named 60S ribosomal protein L24, with no coding region annotated. The record is from RefSeq and is a predicted model, not a curated record. Lineage: Eukaryota; Viridiplantae; Streptophyta; Magnoliopsida; Malpighiales; Salicaceae. The transcript is spliced from 6 exons.